UACAGAGGUCCCAAGCGUUGUUCGGGUUCAUUGGGCGUAAAGGGUGCGUAGGCGGCGCGGUAAGUCGGGUGUGAAAUCUCGGGGCUUAACUCCGAAACUGCAUUCGAUACUGCCGUGCUUGAGGACUGGAGAGGAGACUGGAAUUUACGGUGUAGCGGUGAAAUGCGUAGAUAUCGUAAGGAAGACCAGUGGCGAAGGCGGCCCCCUGGUUGGAUACUGACGCUGAUACGCGAAAGCGUGGGGAGCAAACAGG
Molecule: ribosomal RNA, 253 nt
Filed under: uncultured bacterium
Lineage: Bacteria
Description: partial 16S ribosomal RNA
Rfam family: Bacterial small subunit ribosomal RNA
Source: RNAcentral